Long non-coding RNA from Raphanus sativus (radish), 587 nucleotides. RefSeq lists it as uncharacterized. The record is from RefSeq and is a predicted model, not a curated record. The transcript has 3 exons. NCBI's taxonomy places the organism in Eukaryota, Viridiplantae, Streptophyta, Magnoliopsida, Brassicales, Brassicaceae.
GACACAAACCUAAUUCUUUUCAUUUGUUGGAGCCGUCAAGAAAAAAAAAACAAGGGAUUUUUUUCUCCCACCAUCUCUCGGGCUCUCUCUCCUCGCCGACCUUGUGUCUUCUAGCCGGACUCUCUCUCCUGCCUCUCCUCGCUGCCGUCAUGACAUCUCUCCUUGCCGCCAGCUCUCCUCUCUCUCACACACAGCCGGAUCUACUUUAUCUCACGCCCCACACCACUAUCGUUGGAGGAAGCAAGGCACGAUGAGGCCGGAGCCACACUUCCAUGGGAGAUGAAGGAUUGAGAAGAAGCUUGAUGGUUAAGGAGACAGGGCCGGUGGUGGUGCGGCUGUGGUUGUGGUUCGGCUCUGGUGGUGGUGCGGCGGAGGAGGCAAGGAGUCGGCUGAUUUAUUUUCUAGGGUUAAUUUUUUUUUUAGAAUUAGGUUAGCUUAAUUAGGUUUAGUUAAACUGGUUUAUUUAACUAAACCAGCUUAUUAUAACUUUUUAGCUUAUUAUAAUUUUUUAGGCUUUUAAUAUAUUCAUGUAUUUAAAUAUGUAUCUGUAUGUAUAUAUAUUUCGGUAUAUAUAUUUAUUUACAUUC